This 253-nucleotide ribosomal RNA is filed under the name uncultured bacterium. Its description in RNAcentral is "partial 16S ribosomal RNA". It matches the Rfam family "Bacterial small subunit ribosomal RNA", at positions 524 to 776 of the family's 1533-position model. The record is from RNAcentral.
UACGUAGGGUCCGAGCGUUGUCCGGAUUUAUUGGGCGUAAAGGGCUCGUAGGUGGCCAACUAAGUCAGACGUGAAAUCCCUCGGCUUAACCGGGGAACUGCGUCUGAUACUGGAUGGCUUGAGUUCGGGAGAGGGAUGCGGAAUUCCAGGUGUAGCGGUGAAAUGCGUAGAUAUCUGGAGGAACACCGGUGGCGAAGGCGGCAUCCUGGACCGACACUGACACUGAGGAGCGAAAGCCAGGGGAGCAAACGGG